GCCCGGCUGGCUCAGUCAUGAGAGCAUGUGACUCUUGAUCUCGGGGUCUGAGUUCAAGCCUCGUGUUGGGUG
This 72-nucleotide transfer RNA is filed under the name Felis catus (domestic cat). It matches the Rfam family "tRNA". From Rfam's summary of the family: Transfer RNA (tRNA) molecules are approximately 80 nucleotides in length. Their secondary structure includes four short double-helical elements and three loops (D, anti-codon, and T loops). Lineage: Eukaryota; Metazoa; Chordata; Mammalia; Carnivora; Felidae. The record is from Rfam by way of RNAcentral.